UAGUUUCCUCUCCUCUCCUCUCCUUUUCUUGCUCUGUAGGCUUUAAUUAAUGCAAUCUUGAGUAUUUUAAUUCAAAACGCCAGUGUGCCCAGUUUCCUCUCCUCCCCUCUCGUUUUCUUGCUUCUCCUUUUCCUUCCCUCUGCUGCUACAAUAUCGGUACCAUUCACAGCUUAAAAACAGCUGCUAAUUUAUCUGCUCCUCCUCCCCAUCAAUCUAACCAGCUUUAGUUCACUCUUAACCAUAAUUUUCCUUCUUGUUUAAAUCUGACCCUAUAUCUCAUAAAUUUAUCAAAAUUUGCCAUAUGAAAUAUGUGCUAUCAGGGGCCUAUAAAUUGAUGAUUAACACCAACAAUAAAGUUGCACUUCAAUUUUAACUCAAAAAUAACAAACAUAAACAAUUUUAAAAAAUUGAUAAGAAAGUGAAAUGGAAAAACUUUUAAUUCCAUAAAAACACUGAAAACGUUUAUUUACUUUUACAUACCUUAA
This 485-nucleotide unclassified non-coding RNA is filed under the name Hevea brasiliensis (rubber tree). Lineage: Eukaryota; Viridiplantae; Streptophyta; Magnoliopsida; Malpighiales; Euphorbiaceae. The record is from RNAcentral.